UUAAGCGACUAAGCGUACACGGUGGAUGCCCUGGCAGUCAGAGGCGAUGAAGGACGUGCUAAUCUGCGAAAAGCGUCGGUAAGGUGAUAUGAACCGUUACAGCCGGCGAUGUCCGAAUGGGGAAACCCAGUGCAAUUCGUUGCACUAUCGUUAACUGAAUACAUAGGUUAACGAGGCGAACCGGGGGAACUGAAACAUCUAAGUACCCCGAGGAAAAGAAAUCAACCGAGAUUCCCCCAGUAGCGGCGAGCGAACGGGGAGCAGCCCAGAGUCUGAAUCAGCUUGUGUGUUAGUGGAACGGUCUGGAAAGUCCGACGGUACAGGGUGAUAGUCCCGUACACCAAAAUGCACAGGUUGUGAACUCGAAGAGUAGGGCGGGACACGUGGUAUCCUGUCUGAAUAUGGGGGGACCAUCCUCCAAGGCUAAAUACUCCUGACUGACCGAUAGUGAACCAGUACCGUGAGGGAAAGGCGAAAAGAACCCCGGCGAGGGGAGUGAAAAAGAACCUGAAACCGUGUACGUACAAGCAGUGGGAGCACCUUCGGGUGUGACUGCGUACCUUUUGUAUAAUGGGUCAGCGACUUAUAUUCUGUAGCAAGGUUAACCGUAUAGGGGAGCCGCAGGGAAACCGAGUCUUAACUGGGCGUUAAGUUGCAGGGUAUAGACCCGAAACCCGGUGAUCUAGCCAUGGGCAGGUUGAAGGUUGGGUAACACUAACUGGAGGACCGAACCGACUAAUGUUGAAAAAUUAGCGGAUGACUUGUGGCUGGGGGUGAAAGGCCAAUCAAACCGGGAGAUAGCUGGUUCUCCCCGAAAGCUAUUUAGGUAGCGCCUCGUGAACUCAUCUUCGGGGGUAGAGCACUGUUUCGGCUAGGGGGUCAUCCCGACUUACCAACCCGAUGCAAACUACGAAUACCGAAGAAUGUUAUCACGGGAGACACACGGCGGGUGCUAACGUCCGUCGUGAAGAGGGAAACAACCCAGACCGCCAGCUAAGGUCCCAAAGUCAUGGUUAAGUGGGAAACGAUGUGGGAAGGCACAGACAGCCAGGAUGUUGGCUUAGAAGCAGCCAUCAUUUAAAGAAAGCGUAAUAGCUCACUGGUCGAGUCGGCCUGCGCGGAAGAUGUAACGGGGCUAAACCAUGCACCGAAGCUGCGGCAGCGACACUAUGUGUUGUUGGGUAGGGGAGCGUUCUGUAAGCCUGCGAAGGUGUGCUGUGAGGCAUGCUGGAGGUAUCAGAAGUGCGAAUGCUGACAUAAGUAACGAUAAAGCGGGUGAAAAGCCCGCUCGCCGGAAGACCAAGGGUUCCUGUCCAACGUUAAUCGGGGCAGGGUGAGUCGACCCCUAAGGCGAGGCCGAAAGGCGUAGUCGAUGGGAAACAGGUUAAUAUUCCUGUACUUGGUGUUACUGCGAAGGGGGGACGGAGAAGGCUAUGUUAGCCGGGCGACGGUUGUCCCGGUUUAAGCAUGUAGGCUGAUUGUCCAGGCAAAUCCGGAUAAUCAAGGCUGAGGUGUGAUGACGAGGCACUACGGUGCUGAAGUAACAAAUGCCCUGCUUCCAGGAAAAGCCUCUAAGCAUCAGGUAACAUUAAAUCGUACCCCAAACCGACACAGGUGGUCAGGUAGAGAAUACCAAGGCGCUUGAGAGAACUCGGGUGAAGGAACUAGGCAAAAUGGUGCCGUAACUUCGGGAGAAGGCACGCUGGUGUGUAGGUGAAGUCCCUGCGGAUGGAGCUGAGACCAGUCGAAGAUACCAGCUGGCUGCAACUGUUUAUUAAAAACACAGCACUGUGCAAACACGAAAGUGGACGUAUACGGUGUGACGCCUGCCCGGUGCCGGAAGGUUAAUUGAUGGGGUUAUCCGUAAGGAGAAGCUCUUGAUCGAAGCCCCGGUAAACGGCGGCCGUAACUAUAACGGUCCUAAGGUAGCGAAAUUCCUUGUCGGGUAAGUUCCGACCUGCACGAAUGGCGUAAUGAUGGCCAGGCUGUCUCCACCCGAGACUCAGUGAAAUUGAACUCGCUGUGAAGAUGCAGUGUACCCGCGGCAAGACGGAAAGACCCCGUGAACCUUUACUAUAGCUUGACACUGAACAUUGAGCCUUGAUGUGUAGGAUAGGUGGGAGGCUUUGAAGCGUGGACGCCAGUCUGCGUGGAGCCAACCUUGAAAUACCACCCUUUAAUGUUUGAUGUUCUAACGUUGGCCCCUUACCGGGGUUGCGGACAGUGUCUGGUGGGUAGUUUGACUGGGGCGGUCUCCUCCCAAAGCGUAACGGAGGAGCACGAAGGUUAGCUAAUCCUGGUCGGACAUCAGGAGGUUAGUGCAAUGGCAUAAGCUAGCUUGACUGCGAGCGUGACGGCGCGAGCAGGUGCGAAAGCAGGUCAUAGUGAUCCGGUGGUUCUGAAUGGAAGGGCCAUCGCUCAACGGAUAAAAGGUACUCCGGGGAUAACAGGCUGAUACCGCCCAAGAGUUCAUAUCGACGGCGGUGUUUGGCACCUCGAUGUCGGCUCAUCACAUCCUGGGGCUGAAGUAGGUCCCAAGGGUAUGGCUGUUCGCCAUUUAAAGUGGUACGCGAGCUGGGUUUAGAACGUCGUGAGACAGUUCGGUCCCUAUCUGCCGUGGGCGCUGGAGAAUUGAGGGGGGCUGCUCCUAGUACGAGAGGACCGGAGUGGACGCAUCACUGGUGUUCGGGUUGUCAUGCCAAUGGCACUGCCCGGUAGCUAAAUGCGGAAGAGAUAAGUGCUGAAAGCAUCUAAGCACGAAACUUGCCCCGAGAUGAGUUCUCCCUGAGACUUUAAGUCUCCUGAAGGAACGUUGAAGACGACGACGUUGAUAGGCCGGGUGUGUAAGCGCAGCGAUGCGUUGAGCUAACCGGUACUAAUGAACCGUGAGGCUUAACCUU
Molecule: ribosomal RNA, 2900 nt
Filed under: Klebsiella pneumoniae
Lineage: Bacteria; Pseudomonadati; Pseudomonadota; Gammaproteobacteria; Enterobacterales; Enterobacteriaceae
Description: bacterial LSU rRNA
Rfam family: Bacterial large subunit ribosomal RNA
Source: RNAcentral